GCCUCGGUAGCUCAGUCGGUAGAGCAUGAGGCUCUUGAUCUCAGGGUUGUGGGUUCGAGAGCCACCUUGGGCA
Non-coding RNA from Podarcis lilfordi (Lilford's wall lizard), 73 nucleotides. The record is from the annotation of a GenBank genome assembly. NCBI's taxonomy places the organism in Eukaryota, Metazoa, Chordata, Lepidosauria, Squamata, Lacertidae.